Molecule: long non-coding RNA, 1089 nt
Filed under: Phasianus colchicus (ring-necked pheasant)
Lineage: Eukaryota; Metazoa; Chordata; Aves; Galliformes; Phasianidae
Description: lncRNA (ENSPCLG00000016571.1)
Source: RNAcentral
CCCGGUGAUCUUGGAUGGAAUCCUGGUUGGGAUCCCAGUUUGGACCCUGAUGGUGGCUCUGGUUGGGAUCACGGUUGGGAUCUUGGUGACCUGGGAUGGAAUGCCAGUUGGGAUCCCAGUUUGGAUCCCAUUGGCUCCGGUUGGGAUCCUGAUGAGUUGGGAUGGGAUCCUGGUGGCUCCGGUUGGGAUCCUGGUGAUCUUGGGUAGAAUCCCAGUUGGGAUCCCAGUUUGGAUCCUGGUGGCUCCGGUUGGGAUCUUGUUGACCUCGGCUGGAAUCCCAGCUCAAAUCCUGGCGGCUCCGGUUGGGAUCGGGGUCGGAAUCCCAGUAACCUGGCAUGGGAUCCCAGUUGGGAUCCUGGUGGUUCCGGUUGGGAUCAUGGUGAUCCCGAUUGGGAUCCCAGUUUGGAUCCCGAUGGCUUUGGUUGGGAUCCUGGUGAGCUCGGAUGGAACCACGGCUGGGCUGUCGCCGCGUCUGUCUGUCGGUCUGUCUGUCGGGCUGUCGCCGCGUCUGCCUGUCGGGCUGUCUGUCAGGCUGUCUGUCGGGCUGUCUGUGGGGCUGCCGGUGAUCCCGGUGCUGCGUCCGCCUAUAGGGUCGCCUAUAGGGCCGCCUAUGGGGCUGACAGGUGGCGCCGUCGGCUUGCAGGACGAAACCCCGGCGACAGUGACAGGCGAAACCUCCCUCGUGAUUGAGGCACAUGUGGUGACACACGGCGGCCGUUCGACAUUCGUCGCGAUCAUCGCAACGUCCCGGUGCUCCCGGAACCGGUCCGAAACCCAAAGGGCAACUCGGAACCGAAACGAUCGGAGCCACGGCCGCCGUCCCCGCGACCAGCAGGGCGAUCAACGCCAGCAUCUUUCGUUCCCCCCCCCCGCUGUCCGUCCCUCUGUCUGUCCGUCCCGCUGUCCGUCUGUCCCGCUGUUUCCCCCCCCCCCCGGGGUUGGGAACUCCGCCCCGAGGCUCCGAGAGGGGCCGCACCCUGAGGCGGUGCUGGGAUGGGGGGGGAACGAGGGAAAAGGGAGCGGGGAGGGAAAAGGGGGGGGAGGGAAAAGGGGGGAAGGGAUGGGGAAGGGGAAGGGAGAAAAGGGAUG